This is a long non-coding RNA of Mauremys reevesii (Reeves's turtle), 779 nucleotides long. RefSeq lists it as uncharacterized. The transcript is spliced from 4 exons. The record is from RefSeq and is a predicted model, not a curated record. NCBI's taxonomy places the organism in Eukaryota, Metazoa, Chordata, Testudines, Geoemydidae.
GCCGGGCCGGCCGGAGCCCCGCGCUGGCCGCUCACCUGGGCGGAUUUCCUGCAGGGUCCGGACUGCAGGAACCGGGCGAUCAGAUAUCCCGGCCCGAGGCAGCGGCCGAGCAGGGUGUAGCGCUGCCGCCCGCCGCUAGGGGGCGGCCGCCCAGGCAGGUGAACGUCCAAGCGGAAGGAAGGACGGACGGACUCGGGGGACGUGCUGGGACAGCGGCACGACGCUCUGAACUGCUUAGGGGCCCCAGCCAUCCACUGUGCUAGAUGCUGUACAAAGACAGAACAAAGAGAUGGUCCCUGCCCCGAUAAGGUUGCAAUCCAAGUAUAAGAACAGAGACAAAAGGGGAUUGGAACAGCAGUUGGCAGAAAGACCACAGUGGCAUGGCGCUCUCAUGAAAUGUGAGGGGCUCCUGGAUAGACAAUAGGCCUCCAUGGAUGUCCCAAGAUCUGUGGAAUAUCCCCAUGGGUCUUGAGCUACCUGCAAGUUUCAAGGUCCACAGCCUGAGAAGCUCCAUGGGAGGCAACACCACCAAUGGGACAUUUGAAAGAAACUCCAUCAUUUUCAACUCCUGGACACACAUUUCUUCUUUCACCAGGUUUACACGGAUAUAACUCUGUUAACUACAUAGGAGCUACUUUUGAUUUGAGUAGAGAAUCGCGCUAAUCUAAUUUCCUCAUUCCUAUGCAGUCUUUUCCCACAAAGGGGACAAUAUGGCCCUAAGAAUGUAGCAACUCCCAAAAGCAUUCCUUGUUUUCUGCCUUUUUUUAAUCAAUUAGUUC